GUCGAACGAACUCUGGUAUUGAUUGGUGCUUGCAUCAUGAUCUUACAUUUGAGUGAGUGGCGAACUGGUGAGUAACACGUGGGAAACCUGCCCAGAAGCGGGGGAUAACACCUGGAAACAGAUGCUAAUACCGCAUAACAACUUGGACCGCAUGGUCCGAGUUUGAAAGAUGGCUUCGGCUAUCACUUUUGGAUGGUCCCGCGGCGUAUUAGCUAGAUGGUGGGGUAACGGCUCACCAUGGCAAUGAUACGUAGCCGACCUGAGAGGGUAAUCGGCCACAUUGGGACUGAGACACGGCCCAAACUCCUACGGGAGGCAGCAGUAGGGAAUCUUCCACAAUGGACGAAAGUCUGAUGGAGCAACGCCGCGUGAGUGAAGAAGGGUUUCGGCUCGUAAAACUCUGUUGUUAAAGAAGAACAUAUCUGAGAGUAACUGUUCAGGUAUUGACGGUAUUUAACCAGAAAGCCACGGCUAACUACGUGCCAGCAGCCGCGGUAAUACGUAGGUGGCAAGCGUUGUCCGGAUUUAUUGGGCGUAAAGCGAGCGCAGGCGGUUUUUUAAGUCUGAUGUGAAAGCCUUCGGCUCAACCGAAGAAGUGCAUCGGAAACUGGGAAACUUGAGUGCAGAAGAGGACAGUGGAACUCCAUGUGUAGCGGUGAAAUGCGUAGAUAUAUGGAAGAACACCAGUGGCGAAGGCGGCUGUCUGGUCUGUAACUGACGCUGAGGCUCGAAAGUAUGGGUAGCAAACAGGAUUAGAUACCCUGGUAGUCCAUACCGUAAACGAUGAAUGCUAAGUGUUGGAGGGUUUCCGCCCUUCAGUGCUGCAGCUAACGCAUUAAGCAUUCCGCCUGGGGAGUACGGCCGCAAGGCUGAAACUCAAAGGAAUUGACGGGGGCCCGCACAAGCGGUGGAGCAUGUGGUUUAAUUCGAAGCUACGCGAAGAACCUUACCAGGUCUUGACAUACUAUGCAAAUCUAAGAGAUUAGACGUUCCCUUCGGGGACAUGGAUACAGGUGGUGCAUGGUUGUCGUCAGCUCGUGUCGUGAGAUGUUGGGUUAAGUCCCGCAACGAGCGCAACCCUUAUUAUCAGUUGCCAGCAUUAAGUUGGGCACUCUGGUGAGACUGCCGGUGACAAACCGGAGGAAGGUGGGGAUGACGUCAAAUCAUCAUGCCCCUUAUGACCUGGGCUACACACGUGCUACAAUGGAUGGUACAACGAGUUGCGAACUCGCGAGAGUAAGCUAAUCUCUUAAAGCCAUUCUCAGUUCGGAUUGUAGGCUGCAACUCGCCUACAUGAAGUCGGAAUCGCUAGUAAUCGCGGAUCAGCAUGCCGCGGUGAAUACGUUCCCGGGCCUUGUACACACCGCCCGUCACACCAUGAGAGUUUGUAACACCCAAAGUCGGUGGGGUAACCUUUUAGG
This 1421-nucleotide ribosomal RNA is filed under the name Lactiplantibacillus plantarum. Its description in RNAcentral is "bacterial SSU rRNA". It matches the Rfam family "Bacterial small subunit ribosomal RNA". The record is from RNAcentral. Lineage: Bacteria; Bacillati; Bacillota; Bacilli; Lactobacillales; Lactobacillaceae.